RNAcentral lists this ribosomal RNA (254 nucleotides) under uncultured bacterium. RNAcentral's name for it is "partial 16S ribosomal RNA". It matches the Rfam family "Bacterial small subunit ribosomal RNA", at positions 524 to 777 of the family's 1533-position model. The record is from RNAcentral.
UACAGAGGUGGCAAGCGUUGUUCGGAAUUACUGGGCGUAAAGGGCGAGUAGGUGGCCAUCUAAGUCAGACGUGAAAUCCCCCGGCUUAACCUGGGAACUGCGUCUGAUACUGGACGGCUUGAGUAUGGGAGAGGAACGUAGAAUUCCAGGUGUAGCGGUGAAAUGCGUAGAUAUCUGGAGGAAUACCGGUGGCGAAGGCGGCGUUCUGGGACGGUACUGACGCUGAGACGCGAAAGCGUGGGGAGCGAACGAGG